GAGUUCGAGAGCCGCUGGUGCUUCCCAGGCCGUCGCGCUCCUGGCCGCGCACCCAGCCAGGGACCCAGAGGCCCUCAGCCCCGGGCUCUGCGCGUACACUGAGGGCGCGGCGCAGCAGGACAGCAAGAUAAGGAAGCAGAGACUGAAGGGAGGAAUCCCCGCUUUCCGGGGAUGAUGGCGUUCGAGUUGGGUCUGUGAGGGAUGAAAUAGGAGUUGGCCAGAGGGAGAGAGGGACUCUAGGCCUCGAGAAGAGCACGUGCAGAGGUUCCGUGACACGAAAACGCCAGGUGGGUGCGGGGCUGGGAGGACAGGAGGCAGAAGGGUUUACGGCUCCACAUGGUCGCCGAAAUUUUAGGUCCCUGAGAGUAAAGGGGUGCAGCUGAUUUCAUCUAGAAAGCCCCUGGCCGGGAGGAGAGAACGAGCUUGCUUGCCUGGGGUUGCAAAGGAGUGGGUAGCUGAGACGGCCAGCACCCCAGCAUCCUGACUCAGGGCCAGACGCUUCACCCCAUUGGGCGGCGUCUGGAGGAGCAGACACAUCUCUUGUGGGUACCCUCGAAAGUGAAUCAUGGGUCGCAGGGAACUGUGGUCAAACCGUCUCUAGCUAGAUGCUAGAGAGCCAGCUCUGCAGGCUCAGGCUACUGUGAGACACGAAAGGAGGGACUCGCUGGGCACAGCCUCACCCUGGGGCAUGCCAGCAGGCCCUGCCCUCUGAGUGUUGGCAGACUUGAACAUCCCUAGGGAACGAGAGAAGUUGGGCAACGAUGGGAGAGCAGUGCAGGCCCUGGAGGUGACGAGUCUGUUGAGAUUCUGAUGGGGAUGGGUCAGAGGACGUAGAAAGCAGUGAAGGCCUAGACGCCCCCAGGUCAGUGUAGCCUGCUCUGCUUCCAGUGAGCUGGGCUCAGUCCCCCACAUGUCAUUGUCUUAGACGCCCAUGGCCUUUGCACAGGCCGAGCCUGAUGUUUGGAACAUCGUCGCCUCUAGGGGGCCUGGCUCCUAAUCAUGCAUCACCUCCUCCAGGAGAACUUUCCUGCCCCUACACUGAGUUCAAGCUUCUCAGACACCAGCCCCAGUUGAGUUCGAGUUAUAACCGUCACCAGUUAUCACACCAUCCUGUAAUCUGUGCGGUGCCCCUUAGGGCAGGACCUGGGUCCUAGAUGUCUCUGUACCUCUAGCCCCAAACCAGGCCUGACCUGUCUCUUGAAGGAGUAUUUGUGUUGAAGAUGGGUGGUAACGUUCAGCAAAAGCCAUGCCCAGGAGACAGGCACAGUACCCAUGGAGACCCAGGGCCAGCUGAUGACAGUGAUGAAUUCCCUUUAGAACUGGCGGACUCUUGGGUGCUUGGAGACACUAUAUAAAUAAGGAACUCUGGCUGUGUGCAUGGGAGAGUAUAUUAACAGGGCUUGGCCUGGCUGUGAGGUGCAGAGAUGCCGUUUCUCUCAGGUAAGGAGCCAUAUUGGGGCAGGGGUUUCCUAAUCCUUUUUUGACUCACAAAAUACACCUAGGAAAUGUUAAAUAAAUAGUCAUUUUUGAGUAGUAUAUGAUAAAGAAGUGAUUGAUUUUGACUAAAAAUAUUCAUGUUCUAUUUUUAGAAUAUGAAAGAUUGUAUUAUAAAGAUCACUUGAAAUAAAAUUUUAGAUAAUAUAUGGAGACAAAUUUCUGCUUUUUACAUUUAACUUGCUGUUUAAUGUAUCUCAAAUUAUUUAUGUAAGAGAUAUAUGAUUUGACCAAUAAAUAUAAAAAAAUGUUAUACCAUAA
Long non-coding RNA from Homo sapiens (human), 1755 nucleotides. The record is from Ensembl. NCBI's taxonomy places the organism in Eukaryota, Metazoa, Chordata, Mammalia, Primates, Hominidae.